Molecule: long non-coding RNA, 260 nt
Filed under: Gossypium raimondii (Peruvian cotton)
Lineage: Eukaryota; Viridiplantae; Streptophyta; Magnoliopsida; Malvales; Malvaceae
Description: long non-coding RNA (GRAI_LNC007136)
Source: RNAcentral
UCGCGAUGUUCGCCAUGCUCGGUUUCUUCUUACAAGCUUAUGUGACCGGAGAAGGUCCGGUGGAGAACCUUUCGAAGCACCUGAGCGAUCCUUUUGGCAACAACUUGCUCACGGUCAUUGCUGGAACUGCUGAAAGAGCUCCCACCCUCUGAUUUUAAUAUCUUUGUUUUCUGAUUUUCGCCGCUACUUGUUAUUGCGUUUAUGCAUUUUGUUGUACAUCAAACUUAUCGGAUAAUUCCCGAGAACUUUAAUCUUGAAGG